ACUUAAAUAGCUUAUAGUUAGAGCAUAAUUUUGAAGAAAUUAAGGAAAUUUAAAAUUUUUAAGUA
RNAcentral lists this transfer RNA (65 nucleotides) under Galerucinae sp. 846596. Its description in RNAcentral is "tRNA-Phe". RNAcentral also lists the same sequence under 1 other name. Lineage: Eukaryota; Metazoa; Arthropoda; Insecta; Coleoptera; Chrysomelidae. The record is from RNAcentral.